This 252-nucleotide ribosomal RNA is filed under the name uncultured bacterium. Its description in RNAcentral is "partial 16S ribosomal RNA". It matches the Rfam family "Bacterial small subunit ribosomal RNA", at positions 524 to 776 of the family's 1533-position model. The record is from RNAcentral.
UACAGAGGGGGCAAGCGUUAUUCGGAAUUAUUGGGCGUAAAGGCGCGUAGGCGGCCAUUCAAGUGACGGGUGAAAGCCCUCGGCUUAACCGAGGAACUGCCUGUCAGACUGGAUGGCUUGAGACCGGGAGAGGUGAGUGGAAUUCCCAGUGUAGCGGUGAAAUGCGUAGAUAUUGGGAGGAACACCAGCGGCGAAGGCGGCGCUCUGGGUGGUGACUGACGCUGAGGCGCGAAAGCGUGGGGAGCAAACAGG